GCGUAGCAAUACGUCAGCGGCAGACGGGUGAGUAACGCGUGGGAACGUACCUUUUGGUUCGGAACAACACAGGGAAACUUGUGCUAAUACCGGAUAAGCCCUUACGGGGAAAGAUUUAUCGCCGAAAGAUCGGCCCGCGUCUGAUUAGCUAGUUGGUGAGGUAAUGGCUCACCAAGGCGACGAUCAGUAGCUGGUCUGAGAGGAUGAUCAGCCACAUUGGGACUGAGACACGGCCCAAACUCCUACGGGAGGCAGCAGUGGGGAAUAUUGGACAAUGGGGGCAACCCUGAUCCAGCCAUGCCGCGUGAGUGAUGAAGGCCCUAGGGUUGUAAAGCUCUUUUGUGCGGGAAGAUAAUGACGGUACCGCAAGAAUAAGCCCCGGCUAACUUCGUGCCAGCAGCCGCGGUAAUACGAAGGGGGCUAGCGUUGCUCGGAAUCACUGGGCGUAAAGGGUGCGUAGGCGGGUCUUUAAGUCAGGGGUGAAAUCCUGGAGCUCAACUCCAGAACUGCCUUUGAUACUGAGGAUCUUGAGUUCGGGAGAGGUGAGUGGAACUGCGAGUGUAGAGGUGAAAUUCGUAGAUAUUCGCAAGAACACCAGUGGCGAAGGCGGCUCACUGGCCCGAUACUGACGCUGAGC
RNAcentral lists this ribosomal RNA (637 nucleotides) under Bradyrhizobium sp. RNAcentral describes it as "bacterial SSU rRNA". It matches the Rfam family "Bacterial small subunit ribosomal RNA", at positions 74 to 752 of the family's 1533-position model. Lineage: Bacteria; Pseudomonadati; Pseudomonadota; Alphaproteobacteria; Hyphomicrobiales; Nitrobacteraceae. The record is from RNAcentral.